AUAAACAGAAGAGGCGCGAUGCUUAGGUAGCUGAUGUGAGGUGACGAUAACCCGUGACCAUCAGUGAGGGAAGUACUCGCCGAGGAAAACCAUGCUACGUCGGCGUGAUUUUUCGGUCCUGGAGGUUGAAUCCUCGGGACUGUCACCGUUUUCAGGUGGAGAGCUUCUGGCAGA
This 174-nucleotide non-coding RNA is filed under the name Pseudoalteromonas rubra. Its description in RNAcentral is "Lysine sequence". It matches the Rfam family "Lysine riboswitch aptamer". From Rfam's summary of the family: Riboswitches are metabolite binding domains within certain messenger RNAs that serve as precision sensors for their corresponding targets. The record is from Rfam by way of RNAcentral. Lineage: Bacteria; Pseudomonadati; Pseudomonadota; Gammaproteobacteria; Alteromonadales; Pseudoalteromonadaceae.